Molecule: ribosomal RNA, 455 nt
Filed under: uncultured soil bacterium
Lineage: Bacteria
Description: partial 16S ribosomal RNA
Source: RNAcentral
GAAUUCGAUUCGGUGUGACAAGGCCCGGGAACGUAUUCACGGCGUCGUUCUGAUACGCCAUUACUAGCGAUUCCAGCUUCAUGCAGGCGAGUUGCAGCCUGCAAUCCGAACUGAGACCGGUUUUUUGCGAUUAGCUCCCCCUCGCGGGUUUGCAGCGCUUUGUACCGGCCAUUGUAGCACGUGUGUAGCCCUGGACAUAAAGGCCAUGAUGACUUGACGUCAUCCCCACCUUCCUCUAACUUAUCGCUGGCGGUUUCCUGAGAGUGCACCUUUUAAGGGGUUAGCAACACAGGACAAGGGUUGCGCUCGUUGCGGGACUUAACCCAACAUCUCACGACACGAGCUGACGACAGCCAUGCAGCACCUCGACUACUGUCCCUUGCGGGAAAGCCAGUGUUUCCACCGGCCGUCAGCAGCCGUUCGAGCCCAGGUAAGGUUCUUCGCGUUAAUCACUA